UUGGAUGGACAUCACCUGAUUUGUUUGGAUAAUCGAUGACCCACAAGUGCCAUCCGUAGAUAACUUUUUCAAUACAAUUGAUCCUUGUAUGCUUUCGGGACAUGGUCCAUGGUCUCGGUCCUUACGCAAGAGUGAUAUCCACACACUCCAAUUGAUAUGAGACUUUAUCAAGUGGACCAGAAAAACUCCCAAGUCGGUCGUUUCUUUGAUUGAUCUGCUUCUGCCUUUCCUUUACUGAAAAAACAACUUGACCCGGCGGCGGGUCACUUGGCGACUGUAGGGGCGGCGGUGAGGCCGGGUCAACUUGACCCGGCGGCGGUUUAACACCAGGACGACAGCUCAUCGACAUGGCCGCGGCGAGCCACGGCGUAGAGGUGGACUGGCCCAGAAGCAAGGGGAGGCCGUAGCGGCUCCGGUCGAGCAUGCCUCUGGCGGGUCGCGGUCCGGCUCGAGGAGUUGUGGCGGCAGCACGCAGCAAGGGCGGCGGCUCAAAGCAGCAGCUCGGAGGCGGCGUACAGCGAAGGCGGCCCGCGGCGACGGCUCGGCGAUUUGAGGCAGGCCCGGGAGGCCCAUGGCAGAGGAGGGCAACGCGGAGGCGGGUUGCGACCCGAAGUGCGGUGGCUCAGGGCGCCGAGAGACCGUGGGAGACGUCGACUGCGGCAGCAGCUCGGGGGCGCCGACGGGUCACAGCCCGGCAGUUCAACAACGGCGACUCAGGAUAGCGACCGUGCCCGUGGAUUGGCUCAGAAACACGGAGGCCCGGAGAAGCAGGGUAACUCAAGGCGACGGAAGAAGAUGGCGGGUGGCAGAGCGAACCCGGGUCGUCGUAGCACGGCCAAGGGGCUCACGGCCCGGAGCAGGUCCGGCCGGGCGCGUACAACCAUGGAGCGGAAGGAGAGGCGCCGGGCCCCUCGGCGAGGGCCACUCGUGAUGAAGACGGGCAGUUCGAGGCGCGAUGGAACGACUCGGAGAUGACGGCAGGUGGUGACUCUGAUGCCUUCCGGCGACUCGGAGCAAGGUCGAGGCGACCACAGAAUGUGUAUCCUUCUCCGGGUCGUGUCCGCUUUGACCCCUCUUCGUCCGCAUCGUCCAGGUCACAGGUGUGGCUGAAUCGGCGGUUUACACGCAGCAGAGGAGGCACCCGGCGGUGCGACGGCGGAAACACCGGCUUGCGGCGGACGGCCAGGCCUCUUGAGGCAGUCUGGGACAGCGUCGGUUUAUCCAAUGGUGACGAGGAGACAUCGCCGAGGUGGUUUAGGCAGGCGGCAGAAGCAGAACGAAGCGGAGCCUGGCACGGGUGAUGACUCGGCAUCGGUGACUUGGCGCGCGCGUGAGCAGCGCGGCAAUGGGCGGUUCAACGUGCCACAAUGGCUCAUUGCGGAGGAGACAAACAGAAACGGCGGCGACUCCCGCAGCAAGGCGACUCGAGGCUGUGCCAGCUCAGAGCGCGGGAUGACCUGCGGCGAGGCAGCUCUGAAUCAGUUGCAGCGGGUCAUGAUGGACCAAAUUGGCUGUUUGCAGGUGAAACGACGUGACUCGGAACAGAGGCAUGUCAGUUUGGAAACAGUGAGGCAACUUGUAGACGAGGCGAAUUGAGGGCGCGGCGACUCGUACUGCCGCUCCACUGGUGGAUGUGGCGUCUCAAUCCUGGGGCAGCUCGGUAGCCUCAAUAGUUGUGGUGUUUCAGAGCGACUUGGAGCAGCGGCGAUUUGGAAGGCUGCAACAGCGGAAGCAGGGAGCCGCGUCUUGGAGUAGAACAGGCAGAGGCAAACUGCGGGUCAGCGACAGUCUGAGGUAACUCGAAAUCAGACGCAACGCCGAGGUGGUGACUCGGAGAGGCGGCUCGCAGCUAGGUGGGCCCGCGACAGAUCAGCAGCGAAAAGGGCAAAGGCACUGACGGGUCGAGGAAAAGCCAGACCGGGCGACUUAAAAGCACAUCGGCGACGGCGACUCAGCCGAGCACGACGAUUUGCUCGUGGAAGAAAACGGUUUAGGGACUCAUCGGCGGCAGGCGGCUGAUACGUCUCCAACGUAUGUAUAAUCUUUGAUUGCUCUAUGCUAUAUUAUCUAUUGUUUUGGACUA
This is a non-coding RNA of Triticum urartu, 2083 nucleotides long. The record is from RefSeq and is a predicted model, not a curated record. Lineage: Eukaryota; Viridiplantae; Streptophyta; Magnoliopsida; Poales; Poaceae.